GCGAGUGAAGCGGCAAGAGCUCAGAUUUGAAAUCUCACCUAGUGUUCGAGUUGUAAAUUGCAGGUUGGAGUCUCGGGUUAGACGUGUGUGCAAGUCCCUUGGAACAGGGUGCCACUGAGGGUGAGAGCCCCGUAUCGUGCAUGUCGACACCUGUGAGGCCCUUCUGACGAGUCGAGUUGUUUGGGAAUGCAGCUCUAAGUGGGUGGUAAAUUCCAUCUAAGGCUAAAUAUUGGCGAGAGACCGAUAGCGAACAAGUACCGU
RNAcentral lists this ribosomal RNA (261 nucleotides) under Chaetoceros curvisetus. Its description in RNAcentral is "partial Eukaryotic large subunit ribosomal RNA". It matches the Rfam family "Eukaryotic large subunit ribosomal RNA", at positions 89 to 354 of the family's 3401-position model. Lineage: Eukaryota; Bacillariophyta; Thalassiosirophyceae; Chaetocerotales; Chaetocerotaceae. The record is from RNAcentral.